CAUCUGUGGACCCACUGUCCCCACGGUUUCACCACUUCAGAGGCAGAGCAAAGGGGGAGCUGCACGCAGGCGCAAGGAAAGAGGUUUUGACCUUUAGGAGAGAGCCAAUUCUGGAGAACAGUCUAACUUCUUUGAACACUCUCAUAAUGCAUUGGAACAUGAUAGGAGAUUAAGGUUUAAUAAUAAAAUGAAGGCUACAAUUAAGCAGUCCCUUCUUUAUAGAGGAGCAUUCUUAACUGGGACGCAAGCCAGAGGUGCAGGGGCGGUG
This is a long non-coding RNA of Condylura cristata (star-nosed mole), 268 nucleotides long. RefSeq lists it as uncharacterized. The transcript has 4 exons. NCBI's taxonomy places the organism in Eukaryota, Metazoa, Chordata, Mammalia, Eulipotyphla, Talpidae. The record is from RefSeq and is a predicted model, not a curated record.